GUUCAUUCUCCAUCAGUGAGGGGCCGGUGCUGGACACUGUGUAGGGACGCGGGAAUGCAAAGUCAUACACAUGACUGUGACUGAUGCAGUAUUUCCAGGACAUGGAGUAGCAUUUCCGGACCUACAGCAAGACGUUGGAUGAAGGCAUAGCCCCAGAAAUAACACUGGUCCUGUUCAUCAGUGAGGGGCCGGUGCUGGACACUGUGUAGGGACACGGGAAUGCAAAGUCAUGCACAUGACUGUGACUGAUGCACUAUUUCCAGGACAUGGAGUAGCAUUUCGGGACCUACAGCAAGACGUUGGAUGAAGGCACAGGCCUAGGAAUCAUGCACAUACACAGAAACAUUUGCCCAAAUUAUAGAGGUAACCUCCUUUAGUAUGCCCAGAGGAAGGGCCAUACAGUAGCCAUGGAUUCCCUACAGGUUUCCUCCCCUCUGGAGGUUUUUCCUGUCCUGAGUAUUAGUUACUGUACGCUCUUUGUGAGUGAUGGGAGGUUACAAAAAAUCCCCUACACAAACAUUUUAAUAAAUAAUAAAUAAAGUUCCCCUUUUU
Hyla sarda is the source of this 552-nucleotide long non-coding RNA. RefSeq lists it as uncharacterized. Lineage: Eukaryota; Metazoa; Chordata; Amphibia; Anura; Hylidae. The transcript is spliced from 3 exons. The record is from RefSeq and is a predicted model, not a curated record.